RNAcentral lists this ribosomal RNA (186 nucleotides) under Escherichia coli. Its description in RNAcentral is "partial 23S ribosomal RNA". It matches the Rfam family "Bacterial large subunit ribosomal RNA", at positions 2762 to 2925 of the family's 2925-position model. Lineage: Bacteria; Pseudomonadati; Pseudomonadota; Gammaproteobacteria; Enterobacterales; Enterobacteriaceae. The record is from RNAcentral.
UGAUAAGUGAUGAAAGCAUCUAAGCAAGAAACUGGACCAGCGAGGGGGUCUCCCUGACUCCUUGAGAGUCCUGAAGGAACGUUGAAGACGACGACGUUGAUAGGCCGGGUGUGUAAGCGCAGCGAUGCGUUGAGCUAACCGGUACUAAUGAACCGUGAGGCUUAACCUUACAACGCCGAAGCUGUU